RNAcentral lists this ribosomal RNA (763 nucleotides) under Phocaeicola dorei. Its description in RNAcentral is "bacterial SSU rRNA". It matches the Rfam family "Bacterial small subunit ribosomal RNA", at positions 23 to 777 of the family's 1533-position model. The record is from RNAcentral. Lineage: Bacteria; Pseudomonadati; Bacteroidota; Bacteroidia; Bacteroidales; Bacteroidaceae.
GUCAGGAUGAACGCUAGCUACAGGCUUAACACAUGCAAGUCGAGGGGCAGCAUGGUCUUAGCUUGCUAAGGCCGAUGGCGACCGGCGCACGGGUGAGUAACACGUAUCCAACCUGCCGUCUACUCUUGGACAGCCUUCUGAAAGGAAGAUUAAUACAAGAUGGCAUCAUGAGUCCGCAUGUUCACAUGAUUAAAGGUAUUCCGGUAGACGAUGGGGAUGCGUUCCAUUAGAUAGUAGGCGGGGUAACGGCCCACCUAGUCUUCGAUGGAUAGGGGUUCUGAGAGGAAGGUCCCCCACAUUGGAACUGAGACACGGUCCAAACUCCUACGGGAGGCAGCAGUGAGGAAUAUUGGUCAAUGGGCGAGAGCCUGAACCAGCCAAGUAGCGUGAAGGAUGACUGCCCUAUGGGUUGUAAACUUCUUUUAUAAAGGAAUAAAGUCGGGUAUGGAUACCCGUUUGCAUGUACUUUAUGAAUAAGGAUCGGCUAACUCCGUGCCAGCAGCCGCGGUAAUACGGAGGAUCCGAGCGUUAUCCGGAUUUAUUGGGUUUAAAGGGAGCGUAGAUGGAUGUUUAAGUCAGUUGUGAAAGUUUGCGGCUCAACCGUAAAAUUGCAGUUGAUACUGGAUAUCUUGAGUGCAGUUGAGGCAGGCGGAAUUCGUGGUGUAGCGGUGAAAUGCUUAGAUAUCACGAAGAACUCCGAUUGCGAAGGCAGCCUGCUAAGCUGCAACUGACAUUGAGGCUCGAAAGUGUGGUAUCAACAGGA